RNAcentral lists this ribosomal RNA (523 nucleotides) under uncultured bacterium. Its description in RNAcentral is "bacterial SSU rRNA". It matches the Rfam family "Bacterial small subunit ribosomal RNA", at positions 8 to 526 of the family's 1533-position model. The record is from RNAcentral.
AGAGUUUGAUCAUGGCUCAGAUUGAACGCUGGCGGCAUGCCUUACACAUGCAAGUCGAACGGCAGCGCGGGCUUCGGCCUGGCGGCGAGUGGCGAACGGGUGAGUAAUAUAUCGGAACGUGCCCUGGAGUGGGGGAUAACUAGUCGAAAGACUAGCUAAUACCGCAUACGAUCUAUGGAUGAAAGUGGGGGAUCGCAAGACCUCAUGCUCCUGGAGCGGCCGAUAUCUGAUUAGCUAGUUGGUGGGGUAAAAGCCUACCAAGGCCACGAUCAGUAGCUGGUCUGAGAGGACGACCAGCCACACUGGGACUGAGACACGGCCCAGACUCCUACGGGAGGCAGCGGUGGGGAAUUUUGGACAAUGGGGGCAACCCUGAUCCAGCAAUGCCGCGUGUGUGAAGAAGGCCUUCGGGUUGUAAAGCACUUUUGUCCGGAAAGAAAUCGCCCUGGCUAAUAUCUGGAGCGGAUGACGGUACCGGAAGGAUAAGCACCGGCUAACUACGUGCCAGCAGCCGCGGUAAUAC